RNAcentral lists this ribosomal RNA (2804 nucleotides) under Escherichia coli. Its description in RNAcentral is "partial 23S ribosomal RNA". It matches the Rfam family "Bacterial large subunit ribosomal RNA". Lineage: Bacteria; Pseudomonadati; Pseudomonadota; Gammaproteobacteria; Enterobacterales; Enterobacteriaceae. The record is from RNAcentral.
GGGUUGUGAGGUUAAGCGACUAAGCGUACACGGUGGAUGCCCUGGCAGUCAGAGGCGAUGAAGGACGUGCUAAUCUGCGAUAAGCGUCGGUAAGGUGAUAUGAACCGUUAUAACCGGCGAUUUCCGAAUGGGGAAACCCAGUGUGAUUCGUCACACUAUCAUUAACUGAAUCCAUAGGUUAAUGAGGCGAACCGGGGGAACUGAAACAUCUAAGUACCCCGAGGAAAAGAAAUCAACCGAGAUUCCCCCAGUAGCGGCGAGCGAACGGGGAGCAGCCCAGAGCCUGAAUCAGUGUGUGUGUUAGUGGAAGCGUCUGGAAAGGCGCGCGAUACAGGGUGACAGCCCCGUACACAAAAAUGCACAUACUGUGAGCUCGAUGAGUAGGGCGGGACACGUGGUAUCCUGUCUGAAUAUGGGGGGACCAUCCUCCAAGGCUAAAUACUCCUGACUGACCGAUAGUGAACCAGUACCGUGAGGGAAAGGCGAAAAGAACCCCGGCGAGGGGAGUGAAAAAGAACCUGAAACCGUGUACGUACAAGCAGUGGGAGCACAGAGCAAUCUGUGUGACUGCGUACCUUUUGUAUAAUGGGUCAGCGACUUAUAUUCUGUAGCAAGGUUAACCGAAUAGGGGAGCCGAAGGGAAACCGAGUCUUAACUGGGCGUUAAGUUGCAGGGUAUAGACCCGAAACCCGGUGAUCUAGCCAUGGGCAGGUUGAAGGUUGGGUAACACUAACUGGAGGACCGAACCGACUAAUGUUGAAAAAUUAGCGGAUGACUUGUGGCUGGGGGUGAAAGGCCAAUCAAACCGGGAGAUAGCUGGUUCUCCCCGAAAGCUAUUUAGGUAGCGCCUCGUGAAUUCAUCUCCGGGGGUAGAGCACUGUUUCGGCAAGGGGGUCAUCCCGACUUACCAACCCGAUGCAAACUGCGAAUACCGGAGAAUGUUAUCACGGGAGACACACGGCGGGUGCUAACGUCCGUCGUGAAGAGGGAAACAACCCAGACCGCCAGCUAAGGUCCCAAAGUCAUGGUUAAGUGGGAAACGAUGUGGGAAGGCCCAGACAGCCAGGAUGUUGGCUUAGAAGCAGCCAUCAUUUAAAGAAAGCGUAAUAGCUCACUGGUCGAGUCGGCCUGCGCGGAAGAUGUAACGGGGCUAAACCAUGCACCGAAGCUGCGGCAGCGACGCUUAUGCGUUGUUGGGUAGGGGAGCGUUCUGUAAGCCUGUGAAGGUGUGCUGUGAGGCAUGCUGGAGGUAUCAGAAGUGCGAAUGCUGACAUAAGUAACGAUAAAGCGGGUGAAAAGCCCGCUCGCCGGAAGACCAAGGGUUCCUGUCCAACGUUAAUCGGGGCAGGGUGAGUCGACCCCUAAGGCGAGGCCGAAAGGCGUAGUCGAUGGGAAACAGGUUAAUAUUCCUGUACUUGGUGUUACUGCGAAGGGGGGACGGAGAAGGCUAUGUUGGCCGGGCGACGGUUGUCCCGGUUUAAGCGUGUAGGCUGGUUUUCCAGGCAAAUCCGGAAAAUCAAGGCUGAGGCGUGAUGACGAGGCACUACGGUGCUGAAGCAACAAAUGCCCUGCUUCCAGGAAAAGCCUCUAAGCAUCAGGUAACAUCAAAUCGUACCCCAAACCGACACAGGUGGUCAGGUAGAGAAUACCAAGGCGCUUGAGAGAACUCGGGUGAAGGAACUAGGCAAAAUGGUGCCGUAACUUCGGGAGAAGGCACGCUGAUAUGUAGGUGAAGUCCCUCGCGGAUGGAGCUGAAAUCAGUCGAAGAUACCAGCUGGCUGCAACUGUUUAUUAAAAACACAGCACUGUGCAAACACGAAAGUGGACGUAUACGGUGUGACGCCUGCCCGGUGCCGGAAGGUUAAUUGAUGGGGUUAGCGCAAGCGAAGCUCUUGAUCGAAGCCCCGGUAAACGGCGGCCGUAACUAUAACGGUCCUAAGGUAGCGAAAUUCCUUGUCGGGUAAGUUCCGACCUGCACGAAUGGCGUAAUGAUGGCCAGGCUGUCUCCACCCGAGACUCAGUGAAAUUGAACUCGCUGUGAAGAUGCAGUGUACCCGCGGCAAGACGGAAAGACCCCGUGAACCUUUACUAUAGCUUGACACUGAACAUUGAGCCUUGAUGUGUAGGAUAGGUGGGAGGCUUUGAAGUGUGGACGCCAGUCUGCAUGGAGCCGACCUUGAAAUACCACCCUUUAAUGUUUGAUGUUCUAACGUUGACCCGUAAUCCGGGUUGCGGACAGUGUCUGGUGGGUAGUUUGACUGGGGCGGUCUCCUCCUAAAGAGUAACGGAGGAGCACGAAGGUUGGCUAAUCCUGGUCGGACAUCAGGAGGUUAGUGCAAUGGCAUAAGCCAGCUUGACUGCGAGCGUGACGGCGCGAGCAGGUGCGAAAGCAGGUCAUAGUGAUCCGGUGGUUCUGAAUGGAAGGGCCAUCGCUCAACGGAUAAAAGGUACUCCGGGGAUAACAGGCUGAUACCGCCCAAGAGUUCAUAUCGACGGCGGUGUUUGGCACCUCGAUGUCGGCUCAUCACAUCCUGGGGCUGAAGUAGGUCCCAAGGGUAUGGCUGUUCGCCAUUUAAAGUGGUACGCGAGCUGGGUUUAGAACGUCGUGAGACAGUUCGGUCCCUAUCUGCCGUGGGCGCUGGAGAACUGAGGGGGGCUGCUCCUAGUACGAGAGGACCGGAGUGGACGCAUCACUGGUGUUCGGGUUGUCAUGCCAAUGGCACUGCCCGGUAGCUAAAUGCGGAAGAGAUAAGUGCUGAAAGCAUCUAAGCACGAAACUUGCCCCGAGAUGAGUUCUCCCUGAC